RNAcentral lists this ribosomal RNA (253 nucleotides) under uncultured bacterium. RNAcentral's name for it is "partial 16S ribosomal RNA". It matches the Rfam family "Bacterial small subunit ribosomal RNA", at positions 524 to 776 of the family's 1533-position model. The record is from RNAcentral.
UACGAAGGACCCAAGCGUUAUCCGGAUUUAUUGGGUUUAAAGGGUGCGUAGGCGGGUUGUUAAGUCAGUGGUGAAAGCUCCGAGCCUAACUCGGAAACUGCCAUUGAUACUGACGAUCUUGAGUACAUUUGAAGUGGGCGGAAUGUGUCAUGUAGCGGUGAAAUGCUUAGAUAUGACACAGAACACCGAUUGCGAAGGCAGCUCACUAAACUGUAACUGACGCUGAGGCACGAAAGCGUGGGGAGCAAACAGG